Molecule: ribosomal RNA, 291 nt
Filed under: Escherichia coli
Lineage: Bacteria; Pseudomonadati; Pseudomonadota; Gammaproteobacteria; Enterobacterales; Enterobacteriaceae
Description: partial 23S ribosomal RNA
Rfam family: Bacterial large subunit ribosomal RNA
Source: RNAcentral
GGGACACGUGGUAUCCUGUCUGAAUAUGGGGGGACCAUCCUCCAAGGCUAAAUACUCCUGACUGACCGAUAGUGAACCAGUACCGUGAGGGAAAGGCGAAAAGAACCCCGGCGAGGGGAGUGAAAAAGAACCUGAAACCGUGUACGUACAAGCAGUGGGAGCCUCUUAAUGGGGUGACUGCGUACCUUUUGUAUAAUGGGUCAGCGACUUAUAUUCUGUAGCAAGGUUAACCGAAUAGGGGAGCCGAAGGGAAACCGAGUCUUAACUGGGCGUUAAGUUGCAGGGUAUAGA